GCCUCUGUAGCUCAGUAGGUGGAGCGUACGGCUGUUAACCGUAUGAUAAAGUGAUUUAUCCGGCAAAGGUCACCAGUUCAAGUCUGGUCAGAGGCG
Molecule: transfer RNA, 96 nt
Filed under: Nanobdellota archaeon
Lineage: Archaea; Nanobdellati; Nanobdellota
Description: tRNA-Asn
Rfam family: tRNA
About the family: Transfer RNA (tRNA) molecules are approximately 80 nucleotides in length.
Source: RNAcentral